AUUAGUCGGUAGGCUACAGAAGAGCAGAUAACAUAUGAAGUAUGAAAUAUUACUUAACUUACUGUGUGUUACCGUGCGUACUGUGUUGACGCUACAUGUAUAUUCUUUUCACAUUAAAUAAACUAAAAUAUACUGACAGUUAUACAAGUUGUAGGAAUGUACCGAUGUACACAGGCCAACAUUUUGACAGGUGUUUCUGAAUUGAUAACAAAUACCAGUGAAGACACACCCUGAUGUAUAAACUAGAUCUUCAAGUUUAAAAUAAUUAAUUUGUGAUAUAUGACCAUACAUGGGGAGAAUGAUUGUGCCGUUGUAGGAUUGGCUGCAUGAGAUCAAGACGGAGAGUAUAAAAAAAAAGAGGGGACAGAAGUUUCCGCAGAGGUCUUUUCUCUUGGACAGAGUUCACACCAGCUUACGCCGAAUUUACACAGCGACAUCACCAACACUGCCGGAACCGCCAUAGAUUCAGAAGCAGCUGUAGAAUCGGAGUAUCCACCAUCCCGCUGAGAAAUCCAGAGCAUCGAAACGCCAAGAGAAACACAAGAUGGCUGCUCGUGAAUUUGAAUUCUCUAGAAGAUGUGACAAGGACACGCUCCAAGAGAGACAGCUGCAUGAGAAUAAAGACACGCUCUUUAAUAGUAGACGUACAGAUGGUAAAAUGAAGGAUCUUGUUUUCUAUAGUACACAUGUAAGAAAAUGGCAGGAUGUAGUGAAGAGUUGGUAUCCUGAAUUAGAAGAAAUCCAACAGAACGAUAAAAUCAGACUCAAGUCCAGGCAAGGCACCAUAACUUUCUAUUCAAGUGUAACAGUUAAGGUACGUGGCAAAGAUCUAAGGAAGAGGUUUGAGGGAGAUUUUGAAGAAAUGAAAAGCAAAGUCAAGCCACGCUAUGGCCAAAUGGCAGAACAGUCUGAUGAGGAAGAACAGUGUUCUGAGGAAGAACAGUGUUAUGAGGAAGAAUUCCGUUAUGAGCCAAAGUUCACCCCACACUUCUUCCCCCAAGUUUAUUGGAAAUAAUGUCUGAUGAAUAAGUAAAGACAAAAAAAAUAACAUUUCUCGUGCACUAUAUAUCUGUACACUUUCUGUUUCUGGUGUUUAUAUAUCGUUUUGGAUAAAUAUGUAAUGUUAAUGUGUCCUCUGAUUGUGUCUUAUGACCCGAGCACACGUUAGUCUGUCUGCAUGUUAUUGAGGAAGUAAGGAGCAGUCCUGUACUCACUGAGCAGGUGGUAGUUUGAGUCCCUCUCAUAUUUGAAGGUCAGUCUUCCAGAGCUGACAUGGUUGAGAUUCUUCAGACACUCGAAAUAAGACACUGUCACACCGCCAGCAUUCAGGUACAUGUCCUGCAGGAAGAAACAUCACAGAGUCAUCAGACAUCUGCCUGUUCGGUCCUCACUUCUGUGUGUGUAGAAUUAUCUGUGAUUUACCUUGUACUCUUUUUAAAUUUUGAAUUGGGAAUAAAAUGUUUUGUCUUCAACUAAAAGACACUGGAAUAAACUUUAAAU
Long non-coding RNA from Cottoperca gobio, 1500 nucleotides. RefSeq lists it as uncharacterized. The record is from RefSeq and is a predicted model, not a curated record. NCBI's taxonomy places the organism in Eukaryota, Metazoa, Chordata, Actinopteri, Perciformes, Bovichtidae. The transcript is spliced from 3 exons.